This 367-nucleotide ribosomal RNA is filed under the name Chaetodon plebeius (blueblotch butterflyfish). RNAcentral's name for it is "partial 12S ribosomal RNA". It matches the Rfam family "Bacterial small subunit ribosomal RNA", at positions 803 to 1372 of the family's 1533-position model. The record is from RNAcentral. Lineage: Eukaryota; Metazoa; Chordata; Actinopteri; Chaetodontiformes; Chaetodontidae.
UAAACAUUGACAGUUAAUAACACCCACUGUCCGCCUGGGGACUACGAGCACCAGCUUAAAACCCAAAGGACUUGGCGGUGCUUUAGACCCACCUAGAGGAGCCUGUUCUAGAACCGAUAAUCCCCGUUAAACCUCACCCUUCCUUGUCAUUUCCGCCUAUAUACCACCGUCGUCAGCUUACCCUGUGAAGGCCUCAUAGUAAGCACAAUCGGUAGCACCCAGUACGUCAGGUCGAGGUGUAGCGAAUGGAAGGGGAAGAAAUGGGCUACAUUUACUAAUAUAGUAAAUACGGAUGAUUACCCUGCAACGAGUAUCUGAAGGAGGAUUUAGCAGUAAGCAAAAAAUAGAGUGUUUUGCUGAAAUUGGC